Molecule: unclassified non-coding RNA, 376 nt
Filed under: soil metagenome
Description: partial contains 5.8S ribosomal RNA, internal transcribed spacer 2, and large subunit ribosomal RNA
Rfam family: 5.8S ribosomal RNA (bases 1-120)
Source: RNAcentral
GAUGAAGAACGUAGCGAAAUGUGAUAAGUAAUGUGAAUUGCAGAAUUCAGUGAAUCAUCGAAUCUUUGAACGCAUCUUGCGCUCCUUGGUAUUCUGAGGAGCAUGCCUGUUUGAGUGUCAUUAAAUUCUCAACUACACUGACUUUGAAUUGGUGUGGCUUGGAUUUGGGGGGAAAAUUGUUGUGGGCUUUUUGUAUAGUCUGCUCCCCUGAAAUUGAUUAGCGGUACCUUUGUGGAACUGUCUACAGGUGUGAUAAUUAUCUACAUCUUAGACAUCUGCUGGAAUGCUGCUUUCUAAACCUUACUUGUAUUGACAAUCUUGACCUCAAAUCAGGUAGGACUACCCGCUGAACUUAAGCAUAUCAAUAAGCGGAGGA